CAAAUUAAAGCUAUAGUAGCGUUAUUAUUUACAUUAAUAAUUCAGUUGUGCAAUUCAACUUAAUUUGA
Molecule: transfer RNA, 68 nt
Filed under: Sirthenea flavipes
Lineage: Eukaryota; Metazoa; Arthropoda; Insecta; Hemiptera; Reduviidae
Description: tRNA-Val
Source: RNAcentral